Long non-coding RNA from Nilaparvata lugens (brown planthopper), 446 nucleotides. RefSeq lists it as uncharacterized. The record is from RefSeq and is a predicted model, not a curated record. NCBI's taxonomy places the organism in Eukaryota, Metazoa, Arthropoda, Insecta, Hemiptera, Delphacidae. The transcript is spliced from 3 exons.
AUGUUUUUCCGGCUCUCAAUCUUUUCGAGUCCUCGGCCUACGGCCUCGGACUUGAAAACCGAUUUCGAGCCGGAAAAAUCUCAUUUUCUGCUCUAAGUGCGAAAUAUACUAUUUCGAAACUUGAAGCUUUUCAAACUUAAUUAUGUUUGAAAAUUUUGACUUUAAAGUUGAUUAAUAUUCCAAUCCUGACUUCAACAACAACAAUAAUUAUUCUAAUCUUUGAUUAAUCUUAUCUAGUAGCAUGGACUGUAUUCUUUCCAGUAUCUUCCCAAUCUCCUAUCUAAUCUUUAAUGAAUAGAAGGCCUAUGAUACUUAUCAAGAAUCAGUAUUAUAAUUGGGGCCAAGCCACACGAAGUGUUUUCAGACGAGUCUGCAGGGCAGAAAGCUCUCCGAUUGGGUUGGUGUUCGGGUAUCAGCUGAUAAUCAGCCAAUCUACCUAAGAGCUU